Molecule: ribosomal RNA, 1437 nt
Filed under: uncultured organism
Description: 16S ribosomal RNA
Rfam family: Bacterial small subunit ribosomal RNA
Source: RNAcentral
GCUUAACACAUGCAAGUCGAGGGGCAGCAUGGUCUUAGCUUGCUAAGGCCGAUGGCGACCGGCGCACGGGUGAGUAACACGUAUCCAACCUGCCGUCUACUCUUGGACAGCCUUCUGAAAGGAAGAUUAAUACAAGAUGGCAUCAUGAGUCCGCAUGUUCACAUGAUUAAAGGUAUUCCGGUAGACGAUGGGGAUGCGUUCCAUUAGAUAGUAGGCGGGGUAACGGCCCACCUAGUCUUCGAUGGAUAGGGGUUCUGAGAGGAAGGUCCCCCACAUUGGAACUGAGACACGGUCCAAACUCCUACGGGAGGCAGCAGUGAGGAAUAUUGGUCAAUGGGCGAGAGCCUGAACCAGCCAAGUAGCGUGAAGGAUGACUGCCCUAUGGGUUGUAAACUUCUUUUAUAAAGGAAUAAAGUCGGGUAUGGAUACCCGUUUGCAUGUACUUUAUGAAUAAGGAUCGGCUAACUCCGUGCCAGCAGCCGCGGUAAUACGGAGGAUCCGAGCGUUAUCCGGAUUUAUUGGGUUUAAAGGGAGCGUAGAUGGAUGUUUAAGUCAGUUGUGAAAGUUUGCGGCUCAACCGUAAAAUUGCAGUUGAUACUGGAUAUCUUGAGUGCAGUUGAGGCAGGCGGAAUUCGUGGUGUAGCGGUGAAAUGCUUAGAUAUCACGAAGAACUCCGAUUGCGAAGGCAGCCUGCUAAGCUGCAACUGACAUUGAGGCUCGAAAGUGUGGGUAUCAAACAGGAUUAGGUACCCUGGUAGUCCACACGGUAAACGAUGAAUACUCGCUGUUUGCGAUAUACUGCAAGCGGCCAAGCGAAAGCGUUAAGUAUUCCACCUGGGGAGUACGCCGGCAACGGUGAAACUCAAAGGAAUUGACGGGGGCCCGCACAAGCGGAGGAACAUGUGGUUUAAUUCGAUGAUACGCGAGGAACCUUACCCGGGCUUAAAUUGCAGAUGAAUUACGGUGAAAGCCGUAAGCCGCAAGGCAUCUGUGAAGGUGCUGCAUGGUUGUCGUCAGCUCGUGCCGUGAGGUGUCGGCUUAAGUGCCAUAACGAGCGCAACCCUUGUUGUCAGUUACUAACAGGUUCCGCUGAGGACUCUGACAAGACUGCCAUCGUAAGAUGUGAGGAAGGUGGGGAUGACGUCAAAUCAGCACGGCCCUUACGUCCGGGGCUACACACGUGUUACAAUGGGGGGUACAGAGGGCCGCUACCACGCGAGUGGAUGCCAAUCCCCAAAACCUCUCUCAGUUCGGACUGGAGUCUGCAACCCGACUCCACGAAGCUGGAUUCGCUAGUAAUCGCGCAUCAGCCACGGCGCGGUGAAUACGUUCCCGGGCCUUGUACACACCGCCCGUCAAGCCAUGGGAGCCGGGGGUACCUGAAGUGCGUAACCGCGAGGAGCGCCCUAGGGUAAAACUGGUGACUGGGGCUAAGUC